Molecule: ribosomal RNA, 465 nt
Filed under: uncultured bacterium
Lineage: Bacteria
Description: partial 16S ribosomal RNA
Rfam family: Bacterial small subunit ribosomal RNA
Source: RNAcentral
GACGAACGCUGGCGGCGUGCUUAACACAUGCAAGUCGUACGGUAAGGCCCUUUCGGGGGUACACGAGUGGCGAACGGGUGAGUAACACACGAGUAACCAGCCCACAACUGUGGGUGAACGCUAGGAAACUGGUGCUAAUACUUGAUAUGUACUCCUGCUGCCUGGUGGGGGGUGGAAAGCACCGGGGGGUGGGGAGGGACGCACGGCCUACCUGGUUGGUGGUGGGGGAGGGGCCUUCCAAGGCAGGCACUGGUGGGCGGCCGGGGGGGGUGGACGGCCACCUUUGGACUGAGAUAAGGGCCAGAAUCCUACGGGGGGCAGCAGUUGGGAAUAUUGCACCAUUGGGGGGAGCCCGAUGCAGCAACGCCGCGUUGGGGGUGACGGGCUUCGGGUUGUAAACCGCUUUCCGCAGGGAAGGAGCUUUUUGUGACGGUACUUGCAGAAGAAGCACCGGCUAACUACGUG